This 253-nucleotide ribosomal RNA is filed under the name uncultured bacterium. RNAcentral's name for it is "partial 16S ribosomal RNA". It matches the Rfam family "Bacterial small subunit ribosomal RNA", at positions 524 to 776 of the family's 1533-position model. The record is from RNAcentral.
UACGUAGGGUGCGAGCGUUGUCCGGAAUUAUUGGGCGUAAAGAGCUUGUAGGCGGUUUGUCGCGUCUGCUGUGAAAAUCCGGGGCUCAACUCCGGACUUGCAGUGGGUACGGGCAGGCUAGAGUGUGGUAGGGGAGACUGGAAUUCCUGGUGUAGCGGUGGAAUGCGCAGAUAUCAGGAGGAACACCGGUGGCGAAGGCGGAUCUCUGGGCCAUUACUGACGCUGAGGAGCGAAAGCGUGGGGAGCGAACAGG